AGCAGCCGCGGUAAUUCCAGCUCCAAUAGCGUAUAUUAAAGUUGUUGCAGUUAAAAAGCUCGUAGUUGAAUUUCGGGGUUCUACCGUUGGUCGGGCUAACAAGUCUGUACUGGUGUGUAGAAUUUCUACCUUCUGGGGAACUAUCAUGUUAUUAAUUUAGCGUGGUGGGAAACCAGGACCUUUACCUUGAAAAAAUUAGAGUGUUCAAAGCAGGCUUAUGUCUGAAUACAUUAGCAUGGAAUAAUAGAAUAGGACGGUGGUCCUGUUUUGUUGGUUUCUGAAUCACCGUAAUGAUUAAUAGGGAUAGUUGGGGGCAUUAGUAUUCAAUUGUCAGAGGUGAAAUUCUUGGAUUUAUUGAAGACUAACUACUGCGAAAGCAUUUGCCAAGGAUGUUUUCAUUAAUCAAGAACGAAAGUUAGGGGAUCGAAGACGAUCAGAUACCGUCGUAGUCUUAACCAUAAACUAUGCCGACUAGGGAUCGGAUGAUGUUAAUUUUUAAUGUACUCAUUCGGCGCCUUAC
RNAcentral lists this ribosomal RNA (520 nucleotides) under uncultured Glomeromycotina. RNAcentral describes it as "SSU rRNA". It matches the Rfam family "Eukaryotic small subunit ribosomal RNA", at positions 569 to 1091 of the family's 1831-position model. Lineage: Eukaryota; Fungi; Glomeromycota. The record is from RNAcentral.